GACGAACGCUGGCGGUGUGCUUAACACAUGCAAGUGGUGCGACGAACCAGAGCUUGCUCUGGGGCAAAGUCGCGAACGGGUGAGUAACACGUGGGUAAUCUACCCCGAUGACCGGGACAACCCGAGGAAACUCGGGCUAAUACCGGAUGUGGUACGGAGACAUAAGUCUCUUUACUAAAGGUAGCUUCGGCUUCCGCAUUGGGAGGGGCCCGCGGCCCAUUAGCUAGUUGGUGGGGUCAAGGCCUACCAAGGCAACGAUGGGUAGCUGGUCUGAGAGGACGAUCAGCCACACUGGGACUGAGACACGGCCCAGACUCCUACGGGAGGCAGCAGUGGGGAAUCUUGCGCAAUGCGCGAAAGCGUGACGCAGCAACACCGCGUGAGGGAAGACGGCCUUAGGGUUGUAAACCUCUUUCAGAUGGGACGAAGGUGAUGCGGUGAAUAGCCGAUGUCAUUGACGGUACCGUCA
This 469-nucleotide ribosomal RNA is filed under the name uncultured bacterium. RNAcentral describes it as "bacterial SSU rRNA". It matches the Rfam family "Bacterial small subunit ribosomal RNA", at positions 28 to 483 of the family's 1533-position model. The record is from RNAcentral.